This 75-nucleotide transfer RNA is filed under the name Megalops atlanticus (tarpon). Its description in RNAcentral is "tRNA-OTHER". Lineage: Eukaryota; Metazoa; Chordata; Actinopteri; Elopiformes; Megalopidae. The record is from RNAcentral.
GGCAGUGUAGCAUAGUGGUUAAGGAGCAGGACUCGUAACCGAAAGGUUACCGGUUCAAUCCCCGGGACACUGCUG